CCUACGGGUGGCAGCAGUGGGGAAUAUUGCACAAUGGGCGAAAGCCUGAUGCAGCAACGCCGCGUGAGCGAUGAAGGCCCUCUGGUCGUAAAGCUCUGUCUUCAAGGAAGAUAAUGACGGUACUUGAGGAGGAAUCCCCGGCUAACUACGUUCCAGCAGCCGCGGUAAUACGCAGGGGGCUAGCGUUAUCCGGAAUUACUGGGCGUAAGGGGUGCGUAGGUGGUUUCUUAAGUCAGUGGUGAAAGGCUACGGCUAAACCGUAGUAAGCCUUUGAAACUGGGGGACUUGAGUGCAGGAGAGGAGAGUGGAAUUCAUAGUGUAGCGGUGAAAUGCGUAGAUAUUAGGAGGAACACCAGUUGCGAAGGCAGCUCACUGGACUGUAACUGACACUGAGGCACGAAAGCGUGGGGAGCAAACAGGAUUAGAUACCCCGGUAGUC
This 439-nucleotide ribosomal RNA is filed under the name uncultured bacterium. RNAcentral's name for it is "partial 16S ribosomal RNA". It matches the Rfam family "Bacterial small subunit ribosomal RNA", at positions 338 to 795 of the family's 1533-position model. The record is from RNAcentral.